RNAcentral lists this ribosomal RNA (253 nucleotides) under uncultured bacterium. RNAcentral's name for it is "partial 16S ribosomal RNA". It matches the Rfam family "Bacterial small subunit ribosomal RNA", at positions 524 to 776 of the family's 1533-position model. The record is from RNAcentral.
UACAGAGGGUGCAAGCGUUGUUCGGAAUUACUGGGCGUAAAGCGCGUGUAGGCGGCUUGGCAAGUCCUGUGUGAAAGCCCUGGGCUCAACCCAGGAAGUGCGCAGGAUACUGCCAAGCUGGAGUAGCGGAGAGGAUGGCGGAAUACCCGGUGUAGAGGUGAAAUUCGUAGAUAUCGGGUGGAACACCUGUGGCGAAGGCGGCCAUCUGGACGUUCACUGACGCUGAGACGCGAAAGCGUGGGUAGCAAACAGG